This 389-nucleotide unclassified non-coding RNA is filed under the name soil metagenome. RNAcentral's name for it is "partial contains 5.8S ribosomal RNA, internal transcribed spacer 2, and large subunit ribosomal RNA". The stretch from base 1 to 119 matches the Rfam family "5.8S ribosomal RNA", at positions 35 to 154 of the family's 154-position model. The record is from RNAcentral.
GAUGAAGAACGUAGCGAAAUGCGAUACUUGGUGUGAAUUGCAGAAUCCCGUGAACCAUCGAGUCUUUGAACGCAAGUUGCGCCCGAGGGCACGCCGAGGGCACGCCUGCCUGGGCGUCACACGUCGUUGCCCCCCACCAUCUACUCCUUCGGGAUUGCGGGGGGCGGAUGAUGGCCUCCCGUGCGCCUAGCCGCGCGGUUGGCAUAAAUACCAAGUCCUCGGCGACGCACGCCACGACAAUCGGUGGUUGCGAAACCUCGGUUGCCCGUCGUGUGCGUUCGUCGCGCAUCGAGGGCUCGAAAAAAUGCUCGGCUCCGGCUCGGCUUUCAACGCGACCCCAGGUCAGGCGGGGUUACCCGCUGAAUUUAAGCAUAUCAAUAAGCGGAGGA